GACGAACGCUGGCGGCGUGCUUAACACAUGCAAGUCGAACGGAAAGGCCCUGCUUGCAGGGUGCUCGAGUGGCGAACGGGUGAGUAACACGUGGGUGAUCUGCCCCUUACUUUGGGAUAAGCCUGGGAAACUGGGUCUAAUACUGGAUAGGACCAUGCUGUAGGUGGUGUGGUGGAAAGCUUAGUUUCGGUAAGGGAUGAGCUCGCGGCCUAUCAGCUUGUUGGUGGGGUAAUGGCCUACCAAGGCGUCGACGGGUAGCCGGCCUGAGAGGGUGGGCGGCCACAUUGGGACUGUGAGACGGCCCAGACGCCUACGGGAGGCAGCAGUGGGGAAGAUUGCACAAUGAGCGCAAGCGUGAUGCCGCGACGCCGCGUGGGGGAGGACGGCCUGCGGGUUGUAAACUCCUUUCAGCCAUGACGAAGCCAUUGUGGUGACGGUAGUGGUAGAAGAAGCACCGGCUAACUACGUG
This 469-nucleotide ribosomal RNA is filed under the name uncultured bacterium. RNAcentral's name for it is "partial 16S ribosomal RNA". It matches the Rfam family "Bacterial small subunit ribosomal RNA", at positions 28 to 507 of the family's 1533-position model. The record is from RNAcentral.